This 3258-nucleotide long non-coding RNA is filed under the name Homo sapiens (human). Its description in RNAcentral is "HSALNT0319980". Lineage: Eukaryota; Metazoa; Chordata; Mammalia; Primates; Hominidae. The record is from RNAcentral.
GCCAACAUCACAAUGAGGAAACAAUCACACAUAUUCAAAAUGUUGGACAUUCUCCAAGAUAACCAGGGUGGAAUAAUCAAUGUCAUUUGAAAAAAUGAGCAGACUAUUUCAUAUCAGAAAAAGACUAUGAAAGAAUAAAGGAAUAUCAUAGCUGUGGUGCUGAGAACAUAACCUACUCCCAUUGGUUUCCAACAACUGAGACCUUGAACAGUGACUUCUUAGCUGUAAAUCCCAGAAUCUUCUGUUUCAAAUCAAUUCUUCAGGAAAAAGAGGACAAAAUAUAAACCCAAGUGGAGAGAGUACUAAAAGACACAAGAUUUUUUUUUAGAGAAUUUAUCAAUCUAAUAUGAGCAAUUAAUUAUUUAUGAUGGUUCCUAUGUUUCACAGAGAAGUUGAAGAAAUAAGAUUAGAACCAUCUUAUGGGCUCUGGGUAAGGCUCUGCAAUCUUUCACCAUUUUUGCUUUAUUUAUUAUACCAAGUAGCAUGACAGAUGUUUGCAAUUUGACUUGAACAUUUUCAUUGUCUUUGCUUUUUUUGUUUCUUUCUUUUUAAAAAUCCAUGGUUUUUUAAUUUCCUUUUCAAUAUUUGCAUCCUUUUAUGGAAUAUAAGAGACCACUUAUAUGCACAAGAGUUAUCUCUUGUGGGUCUCACUAUUAUUAUCAUCAAAAUGCCUGAAAUUACCUGUGAGGGAACAUUAUAAAGUAAAUGAUAAAGAAAUAAUUUAAUGUUACACAUUAGGUAACCUCUAGGAAUAUAUGCUGGAACCAUAGGAAGACAUUGGGCAGGAAGAACAAUAAAAAUAUUUGGAUUGGAAGUAAAAAUGCUAAUCUACUUGUCAGAAAGGUCAUGUCUACAGUCAACAACUGUUCAAAUAGAAGCUUUAAAGCGAGGCUCAGCACACUUUUCUGUAGAGCCAGACAACAAAUAUCUCCGGCUUUGUGGUCCAUAUGGUCGACACUGCAACUACUAGAGUCUGCCAUUGUAGCACGCAAACAGCCAUAGACCAUAUGUGAAUGAAUGGUGUGGCUGUGUUCCAAAAGCCUUAUUUACAAAAACAAGGGAAGUGUUAGACUUCUUCAGAUCUUGGUGUGCUAGUCCUUGCUUUACACAACUAAGAUGAGUGUGAACUAUAUUUCAAAUAGAAGUGAGAGCCCCAAAGGUGGGCAAACCAUUAUAGUAAGAUGGUCAAGUUGCCUAGGCAGGGGCAAUUUAGACAUCUAGACAUCAUAAUUUUGAGUGAGCUAUCAAUUUAUUCAGGCAGGUUUUCUAAGUCUUAGAUUAAAGGGGUAGGUUGGAAUUUAGGGUUAGAUUCUACCUCACUGAGACAAAAUGAUACAAAUAAAAAGUUCAUGACAAGGAUAGAUAAAGACCGUGAACUUACUAGAACAUACUAAGUACAGCUGCUCAUAGCAACAAGGUUUAUUUCAGAUCUUACCUGUUGCUAGCACCAUAUAUUACUCUAACAUGCUUGCUCAAUUUGCUGUCCCAUGGAAAAAAUAAUUGGUUGAGAACUAGUCAGAAGAGUCUUUGUAACUACUUUAAGGACAAAAGUAAUGUUGCUGUUGUGUCCUCAAUAUAUAUAUACAAUAGUGCCUGGAACACAAUAGACAUUUAGUGAUCAUUCCUUGUGUACCUAGAACUUGAUACCUAUUAAAUAUUUUUCUAGUAGAAGUUUGUAAAUUAAUACUACAGGAUUUUUAGCAUUUAUUCUUUUAUAAUAUUAUAUAUAAAAUUUUACUGAUAGACAAUGUCUUCCAGUUCUUUAUACUAUCCUUUGCCACUUUAAUUCAAAAGCAUAUUAAAUUAUAUUUUAUAUUAAAAAUUUAAUUCUAAGAGUAAGAAUUACAGUUAUAAAAAUAUCCCAGGUGAUCAAAGAUAUGGAGCUAUUGCCUAAUGACAGACAUUAUAGUAUAGUGGUGAAUACAGAAAUUUAAUUUUUCAUCUCCUCCUGUCACUCCCUCUUAAGACAUUUUAGGGUCACCCUCCAUGAGGUAGCAGAUUCAUUAGCUUCUACUUUAAAUCCUGCCUCAGAGUAGAAAUCAGUCAGCUCUGUUGAGGGAAUUCCUGAGCAGAAAAAAAUAUCUUUCUAGGACAUUAGAGAGCAAUUGAGUAUUUAAAGAGUCAUUCAAAGAAGAACCUUCAGUAAGCAUUAGAGUAAGCAACUUUACCUAUAUUUUUUAAAAAGGAGAGCUGAGUCAACUCAGGCAAAAGAAAUUGAAUAUGUCAUUUUAAAGAGUCUCAAUAUAACAGAAAUGAAAUGUGUCACUAAUCCACCUUGCCAGCUUAUACAGCUUUUGAGAGUGAAAGACUCUUAGUAAUGACAUUGAUUAUUAUUAAAUGUUAGUAGCUCAGUGUUGUAGAGAAUAUAAACAGCAGUAUUUAUAGACUCUUGGUAAAAUGUAUUUUAACUUUUUAAAGACAUUGCAGAGUUGGCUAUCUUCUCUAACACAACAUAUUGUAGAAUUGUCAUUUAAUAUUUCGUAGAACUAGCUAGAGCAACUAUUCUUUCUUAAGUGGCACAUGUUCAUUUUCUGUAUUUUCCUCAUCUUUACCACCUGCUAGCAGUGUUUCAGGCAACAAAACAGCAGUGUUCUCACCAGACAGUAUAGCCUCCUCCAAAAUGGUAGCAAUCCCAAAGAUUCACAAUAAAACAAAACCUUUAAGACUAUGAUAAAUGGUUUUUAUUUCUUUUUUAAAAACAGUUCUUCCUUUAUUCUUUAAUCUUUAAACACUGAGUUGAAAUGGAUGAUUGAAAAUAUUAUUUGGGGUAUAUUGUUGUACACAUAAGAGAGUAAAUUUUAAGAGCUGAAUUAAAUUUCUCACUCUACCUUUUCUUUCAGUUUAUUUUUAAAUAUAUAUAUUUGUAGAAGCAGUUAUCUGCCAUCCGGAAAUUAAUUCUCAUUUUCUUGGAUUAUUUUAUGGUGACUACUUUCUAAGUAUUUUAUCCUUUAGUGAACAAAUGGUCUUUCUUUCCAGUUAGAAGGUGAUCCUCAAUAAUUAUGUUCUUUUCUUUAACCAAAACCUUGUUUCAAUUAUGACAUUUUGUUGAUAUGUAAAAAUUCUGAAGAAAUAAAAGCAAAAAAUAUUGAAUAAUAAUUUUGUUUAAACAACAUAUUUAGAAUAUUGAAUGACCCUGUUUAAACAAUAUAUUUAGAAUGUCUUAUUGGUAGAAAAUGUCUUCAUGAAUUUUUCAAUGGUUGAUUUUUAUAGGUAUUGUACAUUUUGUAUCUUAAAGGAACAUUAAACUUUAAAUACAAU